Molecule: long non-coding RNA, 228 nt
Filed under: Vigna radiata
Lineage: Eukaryota; Viridiplantae; Streptophyta; Magnoliopsida; Fabales; Fabaceae
Description: long non-coding RNA (VRAD_LNC004562)
Source: RNAcentral
UGCAGAAUCACUUUAGGAAGAAAGAGAAAAUAUUAAAAUAAUAUUAAUUAAGGUUAAAAUGGUAAUUUUUGGAGGUGCAGGAUGAAAGCUUGGAGGUGGAGGAUGAAACACUUUAGUGUGUUUCAUAUUUCUUUUAUUUCACUUAACAUGACCUGCCCGAAUAGUCUUAUUAGAAAGUUGGUGUUUGGGGUUUUUCUUGGUGCGUCUCACUUUUUCUUACUGCACCCC